GAUGAACGCUGGCGGCGUGCUUAACACAUGCAAGUCGAACGGAAAGGCCUGUACUUGUACAGGUACUCGAGUGGCGAACGGGUGAGUAACACGUGGGUGAUCUGCCUUGCACUGUGGGAUAAGCCCGGGAAACUGGGUCUAAUACCAUAUAGGACCACUUCUUGGAUGUUGUGGUGGAAAGCUUUUGCGGUGUGGGAUGAGCCUGCGGCCUAUCAGCUUGUUGGUGGGGUAAUGGCCUACCAAGGCGGCGACGAGUAUCCGGCCUGAGAGGGUGUACGGACACAUUGGGACUGAGAUACGGCCCAGAGUCCUACGGGAGGCAGCAGUGGGGAAUAUUGCACAAUGGGCGCAAGCCUGAUGCAGCGACGCCGCGUGGGGGAUGACGGCCUUCGGGUUGUAAACUCCUUUCGCUAUCGACGAAGCCACCUUGGGUGGUGACGGUAGGUAGAUAAGAAGCACCGGCUAACUACGUGCCAGCAGCCGCCGUAA
This 489-nucleotide ribosomal RNA is filed under the name uncultured bacterium. RNAcentral describes it as "partial 16S ribosomal RNA". It matches the Rfam family "Bacterial small subunit ribosomal RNA", at positions 28 to 523 of the family's 1533-position model. The record is from RNAcentral.